RNAcentral lists this ribosomal RNA (285 nucleotides) under uncultured bacterium. RNAcentral's name for it is "partial 16S ribosomal RNA". It matches the Rfam family "Bacterial small subunit ribosomal RNA", at positions 28 to 312 of the family's 1533-position model. The record is from RNAcentral.
GAUGAACGCUAGCGGCAGGCUUAAUACAUGCAAGUCGAACGGUAAGUUUGGUAGCAAUAUCAAACCAAGAGUGACGUACGGGUGCGUAACACGUAUGCAACCUACCUUGUACAGGAGUAUAGCUCGGGGAAACUCGAAUUAACCCUCCAUGAGAUCAUAGAAUGGCAUCAUUUAGUGAUUAAAACUCAGGUGGUACAAGAUGGGCAUGCGUCUGANAGUUAGUUGGCGGGGUAAUGGCCCACCAAGACGAUGAUCAGUAGGGGACCUGAGAGGGUGAUCCCCACA